GAUACGGGAAGGCUCUAAUUAUAUUCAGAACGGUCGUGAAUGAGUCCGUUUGAAAAGUCGGAAUCGCAAGAAAAUUUUCCGCGCUUCGAGCAAAUUGUUGGAUGAGCUAGAUUUGCACGCAACAGGAUGCGUGCAAAUCGAGAACGAGCGAUGGAAUGAAUAUUUAUAUCCCGAAUUUUCAAGAGAGGGAGAGGUGAAACGCCAAGCACCAUCAUACCUAGAAAUAUGCGAGGAAACGCAGUGAGUCACUGAGUAUGUAUCUCUGCUGUAUGUUACAUCGCGAAUUAUAGUGAAUGUCCCAAGUGCUGCAUCAAUACAAAGACAUUUCACAUUUUGCAGAUCGUGCAUUAAACGUAACACAUUUCACGAUAUUAGCGGUAGCAAUAAUUUAUGGCAAAGCAGAGCAUCAAGUAUGUACCUUAUUAUUAAACGUCACUCCGCUACGGGAAUAUCAAUGUACGUGUGUGUUUAUAGCUGAGGAGUGGCUCAUUGAAACGAUCGUCACGAGUACUCGUAAACAUUACUGAUUGUGCGUAUUAACUGCGCUAAAUGUUAUACCGCAUAUGAAGAAAAAUUGUACUAAUAUAAAAACGUUAAAAAAAAAAAAAA
Pogonomyrmex barbatus (red harvester ant) is the source of this 609-nucleotide long non-coding RNA. RefSeq lists it as uncharacterized. Lineage: Eukaryota; Metazoa; Arthropoda; Insecta; Hymenoptera; Formicidae. The record is from RefSeq and is a predicted model, not a curated record.